This 3101-nucleotide long non-coding RNA is filed under the name Setaria viridis. RNAcentral's name for it is "long non-coding RNA (SVIR_LNC004418)". The record is from RNAcentral. Lineage: Eukaryota; Viridiplantae; Streptophyta; Magnoliopsida; Poales; Poaceae.
GAUCAUGAGAAUUAAGUUUGGUUGAUGAUCCGCAAUAUGUUAAACUUUGAAGAGAAAGUUCGGCUAAAAAACUGAAAUUACCAGAGUUCCCUUUCCCAUGAAAUAGGUAUAGGAUUUUUUGGUAGUUGAUUGUAAAAUUGUGUGGAUAAGACUCCCUUCUCCUAAAAACUUAAGGAUUUACUGUAGCCUCACUCCGAUCUAAACUUACCCAUCAUAAUAAAGCCCCAAAAAAUAAAGAGAUUUGAAUCCCUCAAGUGGGGUAGACCCCAAAGUAAAUAGAACUUUGAACUUGGAAAAUCACGAAAGUUGAUUAAAGUGGGCCCAUAACACACAGGUCCUAGGAAUAAUUAAUACGGAGAAUCACAGGAACGGUAUGGGAUAAGCUUCCAUUAAUGUGAUAAGGUCUAAAUUCCUGGAUGAAUCUUAAUGGAGAAUAUGAUGGAAUACUCUUAAAUCUAAGGAAACAAAGAAAGAAAAGAUAAAAGAGAUUCCAUCAAGGAUGAAAUAGUGAAAUCCCAACCCUAAAACCCCUAGGACAAUAAACACCCUAAGAAUAAACCCAAGAUAAGAACCAAAACCUAUCUUUGGAUAAGAAGUGAUCUAGCCUCACCGAAUCAUCAUGCCCAGAUAGGAAAAAUAGUAAAAGGAUUUAAGCUCAAAGAAACCUAGGAGAAUAGUAAAUCCUAAUAAAUAAAAGUGGGAAUAAAAAAUGAACUAGGCCAAAUUAAACCACCUUAAUAGGAAAAACAACCCACAUCAAAAAUACAAUAGGAUAAAGAAAACCUUAGAAGCUCGUAGAAAAAAGAAGAAGCUCAAUAGGUUACCAUGCCCAACUCUAGAUGAGAAGCAAUCACUCUAGAGCCAAAUCAUAGAGGCAUACAAACCUCCUCGAUGAAAAGGAACCCCUCAACUCUAACCCUUAAGGACAAACCCACCCAAAUCCACCUUGGAUAUUAGGAUCCACCAUGAACAAGGAUCAUGACCACCCUAGAAUAAUGGAAAGAGUACUAGGUGUUCAAAGAAAUCAUCAUACCACAUUAUGAUGAAAAGGGGCCACCCAAGCUAGAUAAUAUGUCCCAACUCCCAAACCCAAGGAGAGAUAAUAGGCAAUAAGAACUCCCUGAAAACACUAACCCUACAACUUCUAGAGGAGGAAAUCCAAGAGGUUACUAUGCUUAUACCCUAGGUCAAUGUUUUCUAGGAAUGACGCCCGUUAAGGAAAUCUAAACCUUAAACGUUAGAAUCUUUAGGAAAUUCUAGUAAAGCCCUGAAAGCCACUAGAAGAAAAGGACUUAAGAAAUUAUCCUACCCAGCCACAAAGAUAGUAUAACCCAGAACCUAGUAAGGAUAAAUGUUGAGGCACGAAAGUACUCUCGACAAGAAGUAGUCAUCCCCCAUCUAUCGGGAAUUGGCAACUUUAGUUCACAUGAAAUAAUGAGAAAUACCAUGUGAACCCCCGGGCAAAUGGAAUGAUUAAGGAAAACAAAAGCCUGGAAAUGGACCAUGACCAUCAAAAACCCAUGGAAAGAGCACUACGUAUAUAAAUGCUCGCAAGAACCAUGGUGGUCAUGUAAGAUCAUAACCCCAAAUAGUUCACCACCAACCAACCUAGCAACCAAAGGAAACAUGUUAAACACUAGUAAUCCAAUAAGAAACCCCUUAAGAAACCCAAUUAGAUAACUUAAGCGAUGAAAGUAGUAACCACUACAGAAAUGCCAUUCUGCCAAAUUAGAUAGAAGAACCACCACACAAGGUUUAAGGGAUAAAAUAUGGUUAGGAUUUAUAAGGAAAGAAGAUCAAUUGGUACACAUGGAUAAAUGGACAUAAUCCUGAUCAUAUCUAAGGAAGGCUCACCCAUCCUAGAUAAGAUAGAGUCACCAUAAGAACGAGGUAACCUGGAACCCUACAACCCCCUAGAUGACUUGCCCUCAACUUAGUACCCAAAGAAACCUACCACGCAAAAUAGGAGCCUAUUAGGCAACCCAAAGUAGAAAUAAUGAUGAUUGAAGGAAAGUCGUCGUAUUGAAUUGGAAUAUUAACUAUGGUGCAAGAAUCACCAUACCAAAUUUUAAAAAAGGAGUAAAAACAUGGUCAGAGGUUAUAAGGAUAAAAGAUCCAUUAUUCAACAUGGAUAUGCGGACAUAACCCUAACUACACCUAAGGAAAAAAAAAACUCCCUCAAGCUACCUCACCUUAAGUGGGGUAGAGCCACUAAAGAUGGCUUAACACAGAGUAAGAAUAGGUAACACAGGGAUGGUACCCAAGCAUAGGGUACCCCAGGAAUUGUAUGUACAUUAUGGGGAAAUAAGAAAGUUAUCCCGGAAAGAAAAGUACUGGGGAUAAAUAAAAUCUCGGACCAAAGGAAUAAGAAUAUCAACGGUAAGGAAAAUCUUGGAUAACUAUAUAUAAAACAUCUAAGAGAAAGGAAAUAUUAGAUAUACAAACGAAUUUAAAGAGAAAUCCCAAGUCGAGUCUCCUUAAGUGGGGUAGUGACCCAGAUGCUAAAAGGACUAUAGAGACUCAAGAACUUGAGGAUUGAAAACAAAAAGAAUAAAGGAAAUAACAACCCUUACUACCCAAGAUACACCCAUCAAAUAUUUGGAUGGAAAUGAAAAAAGGAAAUAAGUGAAAAUUUUCCUUUCCAAGGCCAUGAGAAUACAUAUGGCAACACCAACCCGACCAGGAAGACUAAGGAAAGAGAAUUUGUAGAUUUAGAGUCAUACAUUUGGAUAGACGACACCAAAGUGAGUAAGGUUAAAAGAAAGAAGAAUUUUUUUAAUCAGAAACUCCAAAAAGGCACCCCAUCUACGAAGAAGAAAUCAAGACCACCAUACUUACUUUAUUUCUAGCCAUUGAAUCUCAAGGACGAGAUUCUCCUAAGUGGGGUAGAUCUGUAACAUCCCGCUUUUUAGAAUAUUUAAAAAACGGACUUUUUUUAAAAAAAUAAAUUAAACAUACUUUCUCUUCCCUGAGAUAUUCAAACCCCUUUUUACAAACAAAACUCGCAUUAAAUCUGAGCAUGUGUGUUGCAUAUGAUUGUUCUAGGAAUUCUUCUAUAAUCUUUCCUCCCAAUCCUAGGAACACCUCUCACAAAACCAUUG